CCGAGUUUACAACUCCCAAACCCCAAUGUGAACGUUACCACACUGUUGCCUCGGCGGGAUCGCCCCGGGCGCGUCGCAGCCCCGGACCAAGGCGCCCGCCGGAGGACCAAUAAACUCCAUUGUAUUUGUGUAUUUUACUUCUGAGCUUUCUCGGCGCUCCCAGCGAGCGUUUCGAAAAUGAAUCA
Molecule: unclassified non-coding RNA, 185 nt
Filed under: uncultured Trichoderma
Lineage: Eukaryota; Fungi; Ascomycota; Sordariomycetes; Hypocreales; Hypocreaceae
Description: sequence contains ITS1
Source: RNAcentral